RNAcentral lists this long non-coding RNA (1325 nucleotides) under Apteryx rowi (Okarito brown kiwi). RNAcentral describes it as "lncRNA (ENSARWG00000009915.1)". Lineage: Eukaryota; Metazoa; Chordata; Aves; Apterygiformes; Apterygidae. The record is from RNAcentral.
UCCCUCGGGUGCCUCCCUGCCCCGCGGGCAGCCCCGCGCCGCCCUGUCUGGGAGCCGCUCGCAGCCGCGUGCCCGAGGCCGGACGCUGCUUCUGGGCGCUGCCCUGCCCCAGGCGAGGGAAAUCGGCCCGUGGCCCGCAGGGCUGCUCGGCUCCCGGCACUGGGAUCCCAGCUGGGGACGCUGGAACACCCGAGGGGAGCGACUCCGGAUGCGCUCGGAGCACCGCGUCCUCCGGACCUGGAGGUGGGACAAGGCUUUCGCUGUGGCAAAACCGGACCCAGCGCUCGCCUCUCCCCUUGCAGAUCUUCGUGCUGACGUGCACCUACCUGCCGGCCUCGCUGCUGAGGUGGGUCCCGACCCGGCCGGGCGCUGCGAAUCCCGGCAGCACGGUUUGGGGGUUCGGGGGGUGUCAGUGUGCAAUAGCUCUGCGGAGCCCGUGCACUCCCGGCACGAAAUUCCUCCGGGAACUGGGGGCCCCCGAGCGCCUCACGCUUGGGCCUUGCAGCCGGCAGCAAAGCGGAGACGUCCCCGAGCUGCCGCCGGGGAUAAGCGAUGCUCCCGGGGUGCAGCCAGACGUCACCCCCCAGCCACGUCUCUUCCAGCCUCGCGGGCAGCGGAUCGGUCCUGGUGGCGACCACCCGGGGCAGGCGCUGCUGCCGCAGCCAGCUCCGGCCCCUUUUCCUCCUGGCCCUGGCCGAUUCCCUGGCCGCGGUGGCGCUGCUCUGCACGGCUGCCAUCCAGCUCCUGCCAGCCCCGCUCUUCAUCCCUGCCUACGCCUUCUGCCCCUACGGACGCGCGCUGGCCACGGUAAGGGCCAACGCGGCCCCAUGGCACUGCUGCCCGGCUGCAACCGUGUCCUGGGGCUGCAGCGUGCCCGGAUGGCACUGCGAGCGAUGCAACCUCCCCCAGACACCCCCAUCCACCGGGAACAGCCCCUCGCAGGGCUGGGCUGCCCCUGGGGAAGUCCCGGCGUAGGGAAAUAUUUGUCCUGCUGAGAAACCACCCCUGUUCCCCUUUGCCRCGGUCCUGCGCACCAAGCUGCUCCCUUCUCCCCAGCGCCACGUUCCCUGUCGCAGCCGCGUCUGCCCCCCACGCCGUGUCUGCUUGUCCAUUUCUGCACCCCGGCAAACCCCCCCGCCACRUGCACCGGAGCGCAGCGGGGUCCAGCUCCUCCUGGUGCAAACGUGGCCCCGGCACGUCAGGGCCCUUCCCCGGGGCCGGCUGGGCGGCUCCAGCUGGCUGUGCCAUCCCCAGCGUGCGCCUCAACAUGAGCCAGCGCCAUCCUGCCCCGUGCCCUGUCUGUGCAAAGCGACCCUCACCAUGGU